GCCGUACCUAGCCCACACCUUACAAAACACAACUACAACCCCACUCAUAAACUAAAACAUUCACCACAUCUCAAAAGUAUAGGAGAUAGAAAUUCUAAUCUGGCGCUAUAGAGAAAGUACCGCAAGGGAACCAUGAAAGAAACAACCCAAAGCAACAAACAGCAAAGAUUACCCCUUGUACCUUUUGCAUAAUGAUUUAACUAGAACAACUUAGCGAAGAGAACUUAAGUUAAUAAUCCCGAAACCAGACGAGCUAUUCACGAGCAGCCCAAAAUAGAGCAAACUCAUCUAUGUGGCAAAAUAGCGAGAAGACUCAUGAAUAGAGGUGACAAGCCUACCGAGCCUGGUGAUAGCUGGUUGUCCAGAAAAGAGUUUUAGCUCAACCUUAAGCCUGCCCAAUAACCCCACAAUUCCACUGUAGACUUAAGAGAUAAUCUAAAAGGGGACAGCCUUUUAGAUAAAGGUUACAACCUUGCCUAGAGAGUAAGCAUGCUAACAGACCAUAGUGGGCCUAAAAGCAGCCAUCAAUAAAGAAAGCGUUCAAGCUCAACAAUCACAACAACCCCGAUACCAACAGCAGCCACCACCUCCUAGCACUAAAACUGGACCAUUCUAUAACUAUAUAGAAGAGAUACUGUUAAUAUGAGUAACAAGAAUUUUAUUCUCCCCGCACAAGUGUAUAUCAGAACGGAUAACCACUGAUAGUCAACAUACGUAGAGCAAGUUCAACAACAAGCUCUCUACCCCUCUAAUGUUAACCCAACACAGGAGUGCCCCAGGGAAAGAUUAAAAGGAGUAAAAGGAACUCGGCAAACACAAACCCCGCCUGUUUACCAAAAACAUCACCUCUAGCAUACCUAGUAUUAGAGGCACUGCCUGCCCAGUGACAUACGUUCAACGGCCGCGGUAUCCUGACCGUGCUAAGGUAGCAUAAUCACUUGUUCUCUAAAUAAGGACUUGUAUGAAUGGCCACACGAGGGUUUUUCUGUCUCUUACUCCCAAUCAGUGAAAUUGACCUCCCCGUGAAGAGGCGGGGAUGCCACAACAAGACGAGAAGACCCUAUGGAGCUUCAAUUAACUAGCCUAAGAGCAAGAUACCCAACACCAAAAAGGCAUAAAACACCCUCAUAAUAGGUUAGUAAUUUAGGUUGGGGUGACCUCGGAGUACAAAAAACCCUCCGAGCAUAUACAACUUAGACUUACCAGUCAAAGCCACACCAUAAUUGACCCAAAAUUUUUGAUCAACGGACCAAGUUACCCUAGGGAUAACAGCGCGAUCCUAUUCAAGAGUCCAUAUCGACAAUAGGGUUUACGACCUCGAUGUUGGAUCAGGACAUCCUAAUGGUGCAGCAGCUAUUAAGGGUUCGUUUGUUCAACGAUUAAAGUCCUACGUGAUCUGAGUUCAGACCGGAGCAAUCCAGGUCGGUUUCUAUCUGUUUCCGCGCUCCUCCCAGUACGAAAGGACAAGAGAAGCAAGGCCUCCUUAUCUCAAGCGCCUUCCAGUUCUACAGAUGACAUAAUCUUAAUCUGGCGCACAACAACCACACCGCCCCUAGACAAGGGCU
This 1565-nucleotide ribosomal RNA is filed under the name Vampyrum spectrum. RNAcentral describes it as "16S ribosomal RNA". It matches the Rfam family "Bacterial large subunit ribosomal RNA". Lineage: Eukaryota; Metazoa; Chordata; Mammalia; Chiroptera; Phyllostomidae. The record is from RNAcentral.